AUUAGGUCUUGGCAGUUGCGGCAACUUUGAGCGACAAUCUGAAGAUCCGAAGCGAAAGCGUCGGGAUAAUAAUAACGAUGAAAUUCCUCUUUGACGGGCCAAUAGCGAUAUUGGCCA
This 117-nucleotide small RNA is filed under the name Salmonella enterica subsp. enterica serovar Typhimurium str. SL1344. RNAcentral describes it as "ChiX". The stretch from base 43 to 117 matches the Rfam family "sroB RNA". Lineage: Bacteria; Pseudomonadati; Pseudomonadota; Gammaproteobacteria; Enterobacterales; Enterobacteriaceae. The record is from RNAcentral.